CAGUCGCCACGGUAAUACAGAGGGUGCGAGCGUUAAUCGGAUUUACUGGGCGUAAAGGGCGCGUAGGCGGUUUAGUGAGUGUGAUGUGAAAGCCCCGGGCUUAACCUGGGAAGUGCAUCGUAAACGACUAAACUGGAGUAUAAGAGAGGGUGGCGGAAUUUCCGGUGUAGCGGUGAAAUGCGUAGAGAUCGGAAGGAACGUCAAUGGCGAAGGCAGCCACCUGGCUUAAUACUGACGCUGAGGCGCGAAAGCGUGGGGAUCAAACAGGAUUAGAUACCCCAGUAGUCCCUGUCUCUUAUAC
Molecule: ribosomal RNA, 301 nt
Filed under: uncultured bacterium
Lineage: Bacteria
Description: partial 16S ribosomal RNA
Rfam family: Bacterial small subunit ribosomal RNA
Source: RNAcentral